CCCAUAGCUGAAAUUCCCCGAGAUGACUCGCAUUUAAAGAGACGGCAAGUCCAAAGCUGCUCUUCAACACUUGUUGCUGAAAUGAACAGGUAGCGAUUUAGCGGGUCAAGCCAUUUGAAACAACGACAAAACCUGUUCAUAAUAAAACGUUGAUGGGCUCUGUUAAGCUAUUACCGACAAGCCAAAUCGACGGCAAAUCUACGUCUAAAGUAGGCAAUCUCGAC
This 224-nucleotide long non-coding RNA is filed under the name Dendronephthya gigantea. RNAcentral's name for it is "uncharacterized LOC114525921". Lineage: Eukaryota; Metazoa; Cnidaria; Anthozoa; Malacalcyonacea; Nephtheidae. The record is from RNAcentral.